UACGGAAGGCAGCAGUAGGGAAUCUUCCGCAAUGGACGAAAGUCUGACGGAGCAACGCCGCGUGAACGAUGAAGGCUUUCGGGUCGUAAAGUUCUGUUGUUAGGGAAGAACAAGUACCGGAGUAACUGCCGGUACCUUGACGGUACCUAACCAGAAAAGCCACGGCUAACUACGUGCCAGCAGCCGCGGUAAUACGUAGGUGGCAAGCGUUGUCCGGAAUUAUUGGGCGUAAAGCGCGCGCAGGCGGUCCUUUUAAGUCUGAUGUGAAAGCCCACGGCUCAACCGUGAGGGUCAUUGGAAACUGGGGACUUGAGUGCAGAAGAGGAGAGUGGAAUUCCACGUGUAGCGGUGAAAUGCGUAGAGAUGUGGAGGAACACCAGGUGGCGAAAGGCGACUCUCUGGUCUGCAACUGACGCUGAGGCGCGAAAGCGUGGGGAGCGAACAGGGAUUAGAUACC
Molecule: ribosomal RNA, 457 nt
Filed under: uncultured bacterium
Lineage: Bacteria
Description: bacterial SSU rRNA
Rfam family: Bacterial small subunit ribosomal RNA
Source: RNAcentral